UACCCGCUGAACUUAAGCAUAUCAAUAAGCGGAGGAAAAGAAACCAACAGGGAUUGCCUCAGUAACGGCGAGUGAAGCGGCAAAAGCUCAGAUUUGAAAUCUGGCGUCAUUUUGGCGUCCGAGUUGUAAUCUGUAGAGGAGUAUUCGAGUGUGGCGCUGGCUUAAGUUCCUUGGAACAGGACGUCAUAGAGGGUGAGAACCCCGUUAACGGCCUUUGUCUUAUGCUCAUGUGAAUCUCCUUCAACGAGUCGAGUUGUUUGGGAAUGCAGCUCUAAAUGGGUGGUAAAUUCCAUCUAAAGCUAAAUACUGGCAAGAGACCGAUAGCGCACAAGUAGAGUGAUCGAAAGAUGAAAAGAACUCUGAACAGAGAGUUAAAUAGUACGUGAAAUUGUUGAAAGGGAAGCACUUGCUACCAGACACGCCUGUAGUUGAUCAACCUUCAUUCUUGAUGGUGCACUCAGCUAUAGGUGGGUCAGCAUCAGUUAUGGCGGUGGGACAAAGACUCGGGGAAUGUGGCUUCUUUCGGGAAGUGUUAUAGCCCUGGGUGUAAUACCACCUGCUGUGACUGAGGACCGCGCUUCGGCGAGGAUGCUGGCAUAAUGGUCGUAAGUGACCCGUCUUGAAACACGGACCAAGGAGUCUAACAUCUAUGCGAGUGUUUGGGUGUCAAAACCCUUACGCGGAAUGAAAGUGAAUGGAGGUGGGAACCGCAAGGUGCACCAUCGACCGAUCCUGAUGUCUUCGGAUGGAUUUGAGUAGGAGCAUAGCUGUUGGGACCCGAAAGAUGGUGAACUAUGCCUGAAUAGGGUGAAGCCAGAGGAAACUCUGGUGGAGGCUCGCAGCGGUUCUGACGUGCAAAUCGAUCGUCAAAUUUGGGUAUAGGGGCGAAAGACUAAUCGAACCAUCUAG
Molecule: ribosomal RNA, 909 nt
Filed under: Peziza domiciliana
Lineage: Eukaryota; Fungi; Ascomycota; Pezizomycetes; Pezizales; Pezizaceae
Description: eukaryotic LSU rRNA
Rfam family: Eukaryotic large subunit ribosomal RNA
Source: RNAcentral